RNAcentral lists this small RNA (310 nucleotides) under Theobroma cacao (cacao). Its description in RNAcentral is "sRNA Tc02v2_g018860". The record is from RNAcentral. Lineage: Eukaryota; Viridiplantae; Streptophyta; Magnoliopsida; Malvales; Malvaceae.
AUUGAAGAAAAAGUGUGGGAUUUCAAGGGAUUAAGCUAAUAAAGGUGGUGAGCCCUUUAACAAGGGUAUAGAGAUUGUGCCCGAAGAUCGAGAAUAGGAGUAUAUCGAGCUCCUAGUACUGCCCAAGGUAGCUUGUGGAUAGCAGAUAUCGUCAAGGAUUAUAGUCGGCUUUACUACAAAAAUUGUAGGUUUACUGCCUUUGUGCACUUUUGUUCCUUGAGGGCCCAUGAGUCACUGUAAAGUAAAUUUCAUAUCUUGGUUAUCUGUAUUAUAGUACGUAUGAAUUUAUUUAGCUUUUACAUUACAAAAA